Molecule: ribosomal RNA, 401 nt
Filed under: uncultured bacterium
Lineage: Bacteria
Description: bacterial SSU rRNA
Rfam family: Bacterial small subunit ribosomal RNA
Source: RNAcentral
UGGGGAAUAUUGCACAAUGGGCGAAAGCCUGAUGCAGCAACGCCGCGUGAGCGAUGAAGGCCUUCGGGUCGUAAAGCUCUGUCCUCAAGGAAGAUAAUGACGGUACUUGAGGAGGAAGCCCCGGCUAACUACGUGCCAGCAGCCGCGGUAAUACGUAGGGGGCUAGCGUUAUCCGGAAUUACUGGGCGUAAAGGGUGCGUAGGUGGUUUCUUAAGUCAGAGGUGAAAGGCUACGGCUCAACCGUAGUAAGCCUUUGAAACUGGGAAACUUGAGUGCAGGAGAGGAGAGUGGAAUUCCUAGUGUAGCGGUGAAAUGCGUAGAUAUUAGGAGGAACACCAGUUGCGAAGGCGGCUCUCUGGACUGUAACUGACACUGAGGCACGAAAGCGUGGGGAGCAAAUA